GACCUUGGAAGUCGGGGCGGUAACGCCUAUAUUCAAUCCGUCCGGGUUCGCCCGGACUAUGGCGAUAAACGCGCUUGUAAUAAGCGGACCGGACCCGGGUGCGAUUCCCGGCGGCUCCACCAUUUCUUCCCCGCGUUAUCGGCGGAGCGAGCAUGGGGCCGACUAGCAUCGACGGACGUGUAAAGAAGACUGCUUUCGCCCGUCCUGGCCCACCGUAUCGGGCCAUUUUCUAACUGCGAACGAUAACUUCGCUGGAGAAGUCGCUCUCGCCGCAUAAGCGGUUCGGGUGAUUUCGAACACUUAAGUCCUCAGGGAUCAGUUCCUGGGGCGGGGCCGCCAGGGGGCCUGCCAACAGAACCCCUGGCACU
RNAcentral lists this transfer-messenger RNA (368 nucleotides) under Brevundimonas sp. It matches the Rfam family "Alphaproteobacteria transfer-messenger RNA". From Rfam's summary of the family: Bacterial tmRNA, also known as 10Sa RNA or SsrA, is named for its dual tRNA and mRNA-like properties. Its role is to liberate the mRNA from a stalled ribosome. The record is from RNAcentral. Lineage: Bacteria; Pseudomonadati; Pseudomonadota; Alphaproteobacteria; Caulobacterales; Caulobacteraceae.